UUCUAAUGGUUUGGGUGGCUUUGUUCCUAAAUGUUCAUUACCCAUUAUCAUGGAUAUAUAGAUAAUUACCCUGCUCCUCAGUACACUGUGGCCUGCUGAUUUUCAAUAUGUAUCGAUUUUGGCUUUGCUUCUUUUUUGCUGUCAGUUUAUGGCCAACACAAAGCCCCCCCUAACACAGAAAAUUUAAAGAAACUUUAAACAAAGUAUGCACACCAACAAAACAGACGAAAAUAGAUAAAUAAAUAAACCCCGCAGACUGUUUAAUAAGAAUUUUUUGACACUUGAAACGAUUACUAAUCUCAAACAUGGUUUACAAUCCAAUGCGAAAGCCAAAUGGCAGUAAGUACUCUUUGGAGUUUUGCACCAAUUACUUGUGUAUAACACCACCACCACCACCACCGCCGCCACCAUUAACUAAUUGAUUUUUUUUUUAAGAGCAACAUACAUAUACAGGUGUUACUUUAACGAUGUUUAUCAAUGUUGAGUCACUUUUUCGAAGUUUUAUGAUGAAAUUCGGAAAAUAUAUUCAAAUGUUGCGGGUACUGCAUUGUUGGGUGCAUGUGUCUUAA
Long non-coding RNA from Stomoxys calcitrans (stable fly), 569 nucleotides. RefSeq lists it as uncharacterized. The record is from RefSeq and is a predicted model, not a curated record. The transcript has 3 exons. NCBI's taxonomy places the organism in Eukaryota, Metazoa, Arthropoda, Insecta, Diptera, Muscidae.